UACAGGCUUAACACAUGCAAGUCGAGGGGCAGCAUUUCAGUUUGCUUGCAAACUGGAGAUGGCGACCGGCGCACGGGUGAGUAACACGUAUCCAACCUGCCGAUAACUCGGGGAUAGCCUUUCGAAAGAAAGAUUAAUACCCGAUGGCAUAAUUAGACCGCAUGGUCUUAUUAUUAAAGAAUUUCGGUUAUCGAUGGGGAUGCGUUCCAUUAGGCAGUUGGUGAGGUAACGGCUCACCAAACCUUCGAUGGAUAGGGGUUCUGAGAGGAAGGUCCCCCACAUUGGAACUGAGACACGGUCCAAACUCCUACGGGAGGCAGCAGUGAGGAAUAUUGGUCAAUGGGCGCAGGCCUGAACCAGCCAAGUAGCGUGAAGGAUGACUGCCCUAUGGGUUGUAAACUUCUUUUAUAUGGGAAUAAAGUUUUCCACGUGUGGAAUUUUGUAUGUACCAUAUGAAUAAGGAUCGGCUAACUCCGUGCCAGCAGCCGCGGUAAUACGGAGGAUCCGAGCGUUAUCCGGAUUUAUUGGGUUUAAAGGGAGCGUAGGUGGACAGUUAAGUCAGUUGUGAAAGUUUGCGGCUCAACCGUAAAAUUGCAGUUGAUACUGGCUGUCUUGAGUACAGUAGAGGUGGGCGGAAUUCGUGGUGUAGCGGUGAAAUGCUUAGAUAUCACGAAGAACUCCGAUUGCGAAGGCAGCUCACUGGACUGCAACUGACACUGAUGCUCGAAAGUGUGGGUAUCAAACAGGAUUAGAUACCCUGGUAGUCCACACAGUAAAUGAUGAAUACUCGCUGUUUGCGAUAUACAGUAAGCGGCCAAGCGAAAGCAUUAAGUAUUCCACCUGGGGAGUACGCCGGCAACGGUGAAACUCAAAGGAAUUGACGGGGCCCGCACAAGCGGAGGAACAUGUGGUUUAAUUCGAUGAUACGCGAGGAACCUUACCCGGGCUUAAAUUGCAUUUGAAUAUAUUGGAAACAGUAUAGCCGUAAGGCAAAUGUGAAGGUGCUGCAUGGUUGUCGUCAGCUCGUGCCGUGAGGUGUCGGCUUAAGUGCCAUAACGAGCGCAACCCUUAUCUUUAGUUACUAACAGGUCAUGCUGAGGACUCUAGAGAGACUGCCGUCGUAAGAUGUGAGGAAGGUGGGGAUGACGUCAAAUCAGCACGGCCCUUACGUCCGGGGCUACACACGUGUUACAAUGGGGGGUACAGAAGGCAGCUACCUGGUGACAGGAUGCUAAUCCCAAAAGCCUCUCUCAGUUCGGAUCGAAGUCUGCAACCCGACUUCGUGAAGCUGGAUUCGCUAGUAAUCGCGCAUCAGCCAUGGCGCGGUGAAUACGUUCCCGGGCCUUGUACACACCGCCCGUCAAGCCAUGAAAGCCGGGGGUACCUGAAGUACGUAACCGCAAGGAGCGUCCUAGGGUAAAACUGGUAAUUGGGGCUAAGUCGUA
This 1445-nucleotide ribosomal RNA is filed under the name uncultured organism. Its description in RNAcentral is "SSU rRNA". It matches the Rfam family "Bacterial small subunit ribosomal RNA". The record is from RNAcentral.